Molecule: ribosomal RNA, 881 nt
Filed under: Streptomyces sp.
Lineage: Bacteria; Bacillati; Actinomycetota; Actinomycetes; Kitasatosporales; Streptomycetaceae
Description: bacterial SSU rRNA
Rfam family: Bacterial small subunit ribosomal RNA
Source: RNAcentral
GGGGCUGGCGGGGUGCUUACCAUGCAAGUCGAACGAUGAACCUCUUCGGAGGGGAUUAGUGGCGAACGGGUGAGUAACACGUGGGCAAUCUGCCCUGCACUCUGGGACAAGCCCUGGAAACGGGGUCUAAUACCGGAUACGACCAUCUCGGGCAUCCGAUGGUGGUGGAAAGCUCCGGCGGUGCAGGAUGAGCCCGCGGCCUAUCAGCUUGUUGGUGGGGUGAUGGCCUACCAAGGCGACGACGGGUAGCCGGCCUGAGAGGGCGACCGGCCACACUGGGACUGAGACACGGCCCAGACUCCUACGGGAGGCAGCAGUGGGGAAUAUUGCACAAUGGGCGGAAGCCUGAUGCAGCGACGCCGCGUGAGGGAUGACGGCCUUCGGGUUGUAAACCUCUUUCAGCAGGGAAGAAGCGCAAGUGACGGUACCUGCAGAAGAAGCACCGGCUAACUACGUGCCAGCAGCCGCGGUAAUACGUAGGGUGCGAGCGUUGUCCGGAAUUAUUGGGCGUAAAGAGCUCGUAGGCGGCUUGUCGCGUCGGAUGUGAAAGCCCGGGGCUUAACCCCGGGUCUGCAUUCGAUACGGGCAGGCUAGAGUUCGGUAGGGGAGAUCGGAAUUCCUGGUGUAGCGGUGAAAUGCGCAGAUAUCAGGAGGAACACCGGUGGCGAAGGCGGAUCUCUGGGCCGAUACUGACGCUGAGGAGCGAAAGCGUGGGGAGCGAACAGGAUUAGAUACCCUGAUAGUCCACGCCGUAAACGUUGGGAACUAGGUGUGGGCGACAUUCCACGUCGUUCCGUGCCCGCAGCUAACGCAUUAAGUUUCCCCGCCUGAGAGUACGACCGCAAAGGACUAAAACCUCAAAGGGAAAUUUGAACGAGCGC